GACGAACGCUGGCGGCGUGCUUAACACAUGCAAGUCGAACGAUGAAGCUGGAGCUUGCUCUGGCGGAUUAGUGGCGAACGGGUGAGUAACACGUGAGAAAUCUGCCCUUGACUCUGGGAUAACUGCGGGAAACUGUAGCUAAUACCGGAUACUUUCCCUGGUGGGCAUCCACUGGGGAAGAAAGAAUUUCGGUCAAGGAUGAUCUCGCGGCCUAUCAGCUUGUUGGUGAGGUAAUGGCUCACCAAGGCGACGACGGGUAGCCGGCCUGAGAGGGUGACCGGCCACACUGGGACUGAGACACGGCCCAGACUCCUACGGGAGGCAGCAGUGGGGAAUAUUGCACAAUGGGCGCAAGCCUGAUGCAGCGACGCCUCGUGAGGGACGAAGGUCUUCGGAUUGUAAACCUCUUUCAGCAGGGACGAAGCGAAAGUGACGGUACCUGCAGAAGAAGCACCGGCUAACUAUGUGCCAGCCGCCGCCGUAA
Molecule: ribosomal RNA, 484 nt
Filed under: uncultured bacterium
Lineage: Bacteria
Description: partial 16S ribosomal RNA
Rfam family: Bacterial small subunit ribosomal RNA
Source: RNAcentral